Cyprinus carpio (common carp) is the source of this 758-nucleotide long non-coding RNA. The record is from Ensembl. NCBI's taxonomy places the organism in Eukaryota, Metazoa, Chordata, Actinopteri, Cypriniformes, Cyprinidae.
GCCCACAUAGAUGAGGUGAAGCGGGUGCCACGUGAUACAUGACAUUAUUAAACAAACUCAAAGAUGGUACCCAAACACCACACUCUCAGCACACAGGGGACAGCAGCUGUCUGUUCAGGAGUGGAUGCAGAGUUGUUUGUAUGCAGGACCUGGACAAGUAAGUGUCUCAAUGUCUCCACACUCGGAAUAGAACCACUCUCAAAUAUCAAGCGGGCCGUAGGUCAGAAGCGGCUCAUGACGCUCCACUGACCUCAGCGGAGGAGAGAAACUCCUACAGCAGAGAAAAGCAGCUUUCAGAAAUAUAUAUUAGGAUGGAUGAAUAAGUUGGUCUACAAACAAAAUACAGGAGAGAAAGAAAAAUACAAUUGCCUGGACUUCAUCAACACAGCGAAAACUCAAUGGAGUGUUCUACCUGAAUGAAGCCCAGGAGGCUUUUGAUGAGAAGCGCCGGCCUUCCAUUGUUCUCCAGCGGCUUUUUAAAGCAUCCCAACCUGCUUCCACCUCCAAGAGGCAGCUUAAUGAUUGGCCACAACAUUAUGCAAUUCAAACAUGCUAUUUUUAGCCAGUCGUGGGCUGUGUAUGCAAAUUUGCAUGGCAUAUUUCACGUGGUUGGUAACAAUAUACACAGAGAUGACAGAAUAAAUGAAUACAUAAGCUAUAUUUGGACAGGACUAGCUUUCCCAGAGAAGAUCAGAGGCGGUUUCAAAAUGGCAGCAAAAUAAACAAUAAAUGUUGUCUCUCUGAGGCCUGAAGGUUCA